Molecule: non-coding RNA, 1172 nt
Organism: Megalopta genalis
Lineage: Eukaryota; Metazoa; Arthropoda; Insecta; Hymenoptera; Halictidae
Source: RefSeq, a predicted model, not a curated record
CUCUAAUCAAAUAGUUCUAUAUUUUCGAAGAAAUAUUUCGCACGUUGUUCACUGUGAAAUUAAUGUAACGGUCGUAGAAACUAUACGUCUGCGGUAAUGUCGUCAUAUUUCGACAUCCGUGAUUGCGGGUUGAAAUCGAACGAAACAAAGAAUUCGUCGAUAAAAAUACAUAAAAUUGUAAACGAUACAAAAUACCGACUCUGCGGGUUCAAAACGUAAACUAAAGGGGUCGCAAUAGGAACGUAUAAGAUUUCACUCUAACGGUACGUUUAUUCGGGUUAAUUUCAUCACGUUGUACAGUAUUAUGAUUCUGACUUCAUAAACGGAAAUGCCUUCGCUGUUUAUGGAUUUGCUGUUUAACAUUUGAAAAUGCAGCACGAAAGAGCAUUGUCGUUACAAAACAAGCAUCAGGGACAUCUCUGAUAAAAGGAGCAAUUGCACGCGCGUCAAUAACCUGUAACACUUUAUGCUCAGUACAUUCGCCAAUGUCGUAAACACCGAUGAAAUUGAAGCUCGACGUAACAGAGACUCUUUAAUUUGUUCGAUUCUUCUUUGUAGUUGCCAUGGAAGGAUGUUCAAUGAGUCGAUGGCCUUGACCAGCUCCUACGACGACACGAAUUUUUCCGGAAGUGUUCCGAUUUUACCUCGCAGAUCACGUUUUUAUGUAGGAACGAUCGUCUGGUUGUCGAAGAAGUCUUACACAGCGCGUUUGUAGAAUUGUUUUGGUUGCCGAGCUGCUGAUAACUAUGCAGCUUCUUUCUCGCCUUGGUCGCCUCACGGGAUGAAACCAGUUCGGAGAUUACGUUAUAUCUGGAAAGUGACGAUUAUAUUGGAAUGCCAUGACAGUUACGAUCGUGACCAGCGUUCAAUCGACGAAGACGCGAACAGAUCGUGCCUCUUUCUGGCAUGAACGUUUCCCGCUAUUUCCGCCUUUGUCUUCUUCGUAUCGUUGCGCGCACAUUGGCACAACGAUUGCGUGGCACGCACGGGUUAAUUAUCGUCUUUUUUCUAAUGUAAAUUAAAGUUCAUUUUCAAAUAGGCUUACGCAUCGUUACGGGUUAACGUAUUAUCGCGUUCGUAUUGAAAAACUAGAACGGUCGGGCAUUAUGUCAGAAAAUAUAAAUAAUAAUAUAAUAAUAAUAUAAUAAUAAUAUAAUGUAAUAAUAAUAUAA